GUGCUUGCUUUGGCAGCACAUAUACUAACAUGGGAAUGAUACACAGAAGAUUAGCAUGGCCCCUGCACUAGGAAGACACACAAAUUCGGGAAACAUUCCACAUUAUA
Molecule: small nuclear RNA, 107 nt
Organism: Gorilla gorilla gorilla (western lowland gorilla)
Lineage: Eukaryota; Metazoa; Chordata; Mammalia; Primates; Hominidae
Source: Ensembl